Molecule: unclassified non-coding RNA, 2271 nt
Filed under: Polistes canadensis
Lineage: Eukaryota; Metazoa; Arthropoda; Insecta; Hymenoptera; Vespidae
Description: ras GTPase-activating-like protein IQGAP1, transcript variant X3
Source: RNAcentral
GUCACGAAAGUUUACCGCCCGAAUCUUUCAUUUCCGUUAGUUCCUAACCUAUAUCAAUGGAUUCAUUAUCGUGCACUUAGAAUUAUUAUUUAUUAGAAAAAAAUAUUUAUAUGUAUAUUUGUGUGUGUGUGUGUGUGUAUAUAAGAGAAGACAACAAGAUAUAUUUGCAAUAAAUUUCUUAUCGUCUUUAAGGUUUUUAUAGAUUUUCAAAAUGCCGACCAUAGCCGUCAAACGAGAUUUAUUAUUUAAAGCGCUUGGAAAAACAUAUUCCGAAGAAGAAUUUCAAAAUGUAUGCUUCGAGUUUGGUUUGGAAUUAGAUGAUGUGACUACAGAAAAACAAAUGAUAGCGAAGGAACAAGGUUCUGAGCAAAGUAUUGGUGCAUCGGAAGAAAUUAUUUAUAAAAUUGAUAUUCCAGCUAACAGAUAUGAUUUAUUAUCCUUAGAAGGUCUUGUAACAGGAUUACUAGUAUUCUUAAAUAAGAGUCAUGUACCACGCUACAAAUCAAUAAAACCAACAGCACCGGAAGAAAUUGUAAUGAAAAAAGAAUGUUUACAAGUGAGAGAACAUUUAGUCGCUGCCAUUUUACGUGGCAUUACUUUUACACAAGAUUCUUAUAACAGUUUCAUUGAUCUUCAAGACAAAUUACAUCAAACUAUAGGAAGAAAACGAAGUAUUGUAUCGAUUGGUACACAUGAUUUAGAUACUAUUAAAGGACCAUUUAUAUAUGAUGCGAAACCACCAAAUUCUAUUCGCUUUAAACCACUUAAUCAAACGAAAGAAUAUACAGGGACGGAAAUAAUGGAGUUGUAUGCGCAUCAUGUGCAACUAAAACAGUAUUUACCAAUUAUAAAAGACAGUCCUGUAUAUCCUAUAAUAUAUGAUAGUAAUGGUGUUGUAUUAUCAUUGCCACCCAUAAUUAAUGGAGAUCAUUCGAAAAUCACUCUUAAUACUAAAAAUGUAUUUAUUGAAUGCACUGCAACUGACCUUAAUAAGGCAAAGAUUACAGUAGAUACUAUAGUUUGCGCUUUCAGUAUAUACUGCGCAAAGAAGUAUACAGUGGAAAGUGUAAAAGUAGUUUAUCCAGAUAAUAAAAUAUAUUAUCAUCCAGAGAUGAGCUAUCGUACAGAAGAAAUAAAUAGCGAAAAAGCAAUAAAUUAUAUUGGAAUCAAAAAAUCUCCAGAAGAGAUAGCAAAAUUACUUUCAAAAAUGUCGUUAGAAGCAAUGGUAAAAGAAAACGAUAAUAUUGUUAUCAAUAUACCUCCAACGAGAAGAGAUGUUUUACAUCCGUGCGAUAUUUACGAAGAUAUAGCCAUUGCUUAUGGAUAUAAUAACAUAGAAAAAACAUUUCCACAAUUAAAUACUAUUGCUGUAGAAUUCCCACUCAAUAAAUUAUCGGAUCAAUUGCGUGAAGAAUUAGCACGUGCAAGUUUCACUGAAACGUUAACAUUUUCAUUGUGUUCAAGGGAUGAUAUUUCAGAAAAAUUGGGUUAUAAAAUAGAGAAUGUACCAGCCGUUCAUGUAACUAAUCCAAAAACCUUAGAGUUUCAGGUUGCACGUACAACUUUAUUACCAGGAUUAUUGAAAACUAUAGCCGGAAAUAAAAAGAUGCCAUUACCUUUAAAAUUAUUUGAAAUUUCUGAUGUUGUUUUACUCGAUACUACAGCAGAUGUUGAUGCACGUAACAAAAGAUAUUUGUGUGCAGUGUAUUAUAAUAAAAUUGGAGGUUUUGAGAUAAUCCAUGGUUUACUGGAUAGAAUUAUGCAAGUACUAGAAGUACCGCAAAGCACAGAUAAAAAAGAUACUGGAUAUUAUUUGCGUGCAGCAGAUGAUCCAACUUUUUUUCCACAAAGAUAUGGAGAAGUAAUAUAUAACAACAAAGUUAUCGGCAAAAUAGGAAUUUUACAUCCAGAUGUACUUACUAAAUUUGAGUUAAAUUUACCAUGCUCUGCAUUGGAGAUUGACAUUGAACCAUUUCUAUGAAAUGUUAAAUAAUGCCUGUACUUAUAAACAGUACAUAUACAACAAAUAAAACGAAACAAAAAUGACAAAGUAAUUUACAUACUUGAUACUAAUCAAUACUGUUUUGUACUUUCACUGUGAUCUGCAAUUAACUCCAACAAUAAAAUGCGUUUUCAAACACUUUAAACUAAUGCGACUGUCUCCAUACAAACAAACAUAACCUUGAAAAAAUAAAUCCAUCAUUCAAGAUAAAUCACUCAAAGAAAUUAUUGAAGGAAAUGAAGUUCGCAAAACAGCUGAAGAAAUGGAUG